Molecule: ribosomal RNA, 254 nt
Filed under: uncultured bacterium
Lineage: Bacteria
Description: partial 16S ribosomal RNA
Rfam family: Bacterial small subunit ribosomal RNA
Source: RNAcentral
UACGUAGGGCGCAAGCGUUAUCCGGAAUUAUUGGGCGUAAAGAGCUCGUAGGCGGUUUGUCGCGUCUGCCGUGAAAGUCCGGGGCUCAACUCCGGAUCUGCGGUGGGUACGGGCAGACUAGAGUGAUGUAGGGGAGACUGGAAUUCCUGGUGUAGCGGUGAAAUGCGCAGAUAUCAGGAGGAACACCGAUGGCGAAGGCAGGUCUCUGGGCAUUAACUGACGCUGAGGAGCGAAAGCAUGGGGGAGCGAACAGG